This is a long non-coding RNA of Brachypodium distachyon (stiff brome), 416 nucleotides long. RefSeq lists it as uncharacterized. Lineage: Eukaryota; Viridiplantae; Streptophyta; Magnoliopsida; Poales; Poaceae. The transcript is spliced from 2 exons. The record is from RefSeq and is a predicted model, not a curated record.
GCAAACUUCGUUUUGGAUCCAGGAGCCGAACGUGAGCAUGAUCAUCACGGACUAUUGGAUGCCGGAGAUGACCGGCUACAACCUGCUCAAGAAAAUCAAGAUGCAGGUACAUGAUUGUCGAGAAUAAAAAAAUGCAACAUCACAGAAUGCAUACCCUUUUUGUUGAUUCCAGUAUAUUUCUGUAGUCCAGAGAUUCAUCAGGCAUGGGGCAUGACAAUACAGAGCCAGAUGUUCCCUGGUGUUGGAAGACAGGAAAGCAGAUGCUAGUGAUGGAAAGGCAUAAAUGCGCGUAUCCGAACAGGAAAGUUCUUUUACCGGUAUUGAACUGUGAGUGCAGUCCAUAAUGAUUAUGAAAGAAAUGUACCUCUGUGAUCUCCUGGACAUAAAUGCAUUUCCAGAUUAGCACUUGCUUCAAA